CCUGGUGGCAAUAGCGCUGUGGAACCACCUGACUCCAUUCCGAACUCAGAAGUGAAACGCAGCCGCGACGAUGGUAGUGUGGCAGAUGC
Molecule: ribosomal RNA, 89 nt
Filed under: Mesorhizobium sp.
Lineage: Bacteria; Pseudomonadati; Pseudomonadota; Alphaproteobacteria; Hyphomicrobiales; Phyllobacteriaceae
Source: RNAcentral